RNAcentral lists this ribosomal RNA (492 nucleotides) under uncultured bacterium. RNAcentral's name for it is "partial 16S ribosomal RNA". It matches the Rfam family "Bacterial small subunit ribosomal RNA", at positions 29 to 507 of the family's 1533-position model. The record is from RNAcentral.
AGUGAACGCUGGCGGUAGGCCUAACACAUGCAAGUCGAGCGGCAGCACAGUAAGAGCUUGCUCUUACGGGUGGCGAGUGGCGGACGGGUGAGGAAUACAUCGGAAUCUACUUUUUCGUGGGGGAUAACGUAGGGAAACUUACGCUAAUACCGCAUACGACCUACGGGUGAAAGCAGGGGAUCUUCGGACCUUGCGCGAUUGAAUGAGCCGAUGUCGGAUUAGCUAGUUGGCGGGGUAAAGGCCCACAAAGGCGACGAUCCGUAGCUGGUCUGAGAGGACGAUCAGCCACACUGGAACUGCGACACGGUCCAGACUCCUACGGGAGGCAGCAGUGGGGAAUAUUGGGCAAUGGGCGAAAGCCUGAUCCAGCCAUCCCGCGUGAGUGAAGAAGGCCUUCGGGUUGUAAAGCCCUUUUGUUGGGAAAGAAAAGCAGCAGGUUAAUACCCCGCUGUUCUGACGGUACCCAAAGAAUAAGCACCGGCUAACUUCGUG